Molecule: long non-coding RNA, 903 nt
Filed under: Manihot esculenta (cassava)
Lineage: Eukaryota; Viridiplantae; Streptophyta; Magnoliopsida; Malpighiales; Euphorbiaceae
Description: long non-coding RNA (MESC_LNC007137)
Source: RNAcentral
CUGGGAGCUCCUUAGGGGCCGGGCACCGACAGAGGGAGUUCUGGGAUCAUGUCUAAUCCGAGAUGUGAUAUGUUUGUGCUGUGACACAUUUCAUGAGAGCAUGUAAUGCGUGAAUGAACUGUUUAUAUGGUUUCUACUCACUGGGCUCUAGUAGCUCAUCCCUUUCCCUUCCCCAGUUUUGCAAGGCCAGUCUUAGCUAUGGGUGACUAGAGUCCAUCAGAGUUAGCUAUGGGAAGUCCAAGAUGGCAGAGUCAUGUUGUGGCUAGUGUUUUGUAUGUAAUCAUAUAGCUUAGAGUUGUUUGAGUGGCAUGUAUAUAUUAUGCAAGAUUGGUGUAAAGUUUAAGUGAUGUUAUGCUAUGCUUAGCUGCUUGUAUAGUACAGUUGUGGACAUGAUAGAAGGACAUGAGGUGUAUAAAGGUUAUGAAUGGAGAGAAUGUGUAGUAAAGUGAUAGAGUAAAGUUAAGAAAAGGAUAUAAGAUACAUUGUAGAGUUGUGCUUUGCCUAGUGUUGGUUAGUCCCUUGUUGUUGCACAUGAUCACAAGGUUGUAAGCUAAAUGUUUUCCUUUUGUAUGAAAUGUUUUCAAGAUGUUUUCAUGGGAACCAAGCUUAAUGAAUGAGAUGUUACUCCAUUGGAGCAGCCCUUAUGGACUCUAGAGUGGGGUUAAGUUACGAGUAAGUGCAUGCAUGAGGUAAGCUUGGUUAAGAGAAAAGAAAAGUUUUCAGUCAGAUCUUGUUCAGGUUAAGCCUGAACAGUAAUAGGGUGAUCAUGUAUGGGAUUCUACCAGAUGUUUAGAGAGUUCAGUUAGGCUUGCUACGGGUCCCGGCGGCCUUAAGCCGAUCUGGAUCCUAGCGCCGAGCAGUUUGGAGCCGUUACAGAGGGGUAUCGGUAUCCGGGCUGUUACA